GAGAUGAGUAUUCUAAGGCGCGUGAAAGAACUCUGGUUAAGGAACUCUGCAAACUAGCACCGUAAGUUCGCGAUAAGGUGUGCCGCAGCAAUGCGGUCUCAGCAAAGAGUCCCUCCCGACUGUUUACCAAAAACACAGCACUUUGCCAACUCGUAAGAGGAAGUAUAAGGUGUGACGCCUGCCCGGUGCUCGAAGGUUAAGAGGAUGCGUCAGUCGCAAGAUGAAGCGUUGAAUUGAAGCCCGAGUAAACGGCGGCCGUAACUAUAACGGUCCUAAGGUAGCGAAAUUCCUUGUCGGUUAAAUACCGACCUGCAUGAAUGGCGUAACGAGAUGGGAGCUGUCUCAACCAGAGAUUCAGUGAAAUUGUAGUGGAGGUGAAAAUUCCUCCUACCCGCGGCAAGACGGAAAGACCCCGUGGACCUUUACUACAACUUAGCACUGCUAAUGGGAAUAUCAUGCGCAGGAUAGGUGGGAGGCUUUGAAGUAAGGGCUUUGGCUCUUAUGGAGAU
RNAcentral lists this ribosomal RNA (509 nucleotides) under Helicobacter pylori. RNAcentral describes it as "partial large subunit ribosomal RNA". It matches the Rfam family "Bacterial large subunit ribosomal RNA", at positions 1669 to 2187 of the family's 2925-position model. The record is from RNAcentral. Lineage: Bacteria; Pseudomonadati; Campylobacterota; Epsilonproteobacteria; Campylobacterales; Helicobacteraceae.